GAAAGCCUGACGGAGCAAGACCGCGUGAGGGAGGAAGGCUCUUGGGUUGUAAACCUCUUUUCUUGGGGAAUAAAAAAAUGAAGGUACCCAAGGAAUCAGCAUCGGCUAACUCCGUGCCAGCAGCCGCGGUAAUACGGAGGAUGCAAGCGUUAUCCGGAAUUAUUGGGCGUAAAGCGUCCGCAGGUGGCACUUCAAGUCUGCUGUCAAAGACCGGGGCUUAACCCUGGAAAGGCAGUGGAAACUGAAGCGCUAGAGUGUCGUAGGGGUAGAGGGAAUUCCUGGUGUAGCGGUGAAAUGCGUAGAGAUCAGGAAGAACAUCGGUGGCGAAA
Molecule: ribosomal RNA, 329 nt
Filed under: uncultured cyanobacterium
Lineage: Bacteria; Bacillati; Cyanobacteriota
Description: bacterial SSU rRNA
Rfam family: Bacterial small subunit ribosomal RNA
Source: RNAcentral